GUGAUGGUGAAAUAUUUUUUGCCUUUAGUAACCUGGUAAUGAGUGUUUGCUCUGUUCCCUCAGGACAGCUGCAAUUGGGCAUUGGUGCUGGAUGGGGAGCCUUUCUGAUAAACUAUUUCUUUUUAUUUCUUUAAAAGUCAACCUACUGGAGAAGCCAGGUCUGAAGUUUGGACGUCAUAAUCACAGCAGGAGGAUUCCUGUUCACCCCAUUCUCAUUGCAGCUUGUUCUGCCCCCAGAGGCUUCUUCAGACACAGUGUGCAGAUGGUGAGGAAGUCCACAGAGCUCCUGCUAGAUGAGGGUGGCCUAUGUUAGUGCAUCCAGGUGUAGACAAGACUGUGUCUCCUUGAGAACAGAAACUGCCUGUCUUGUUCACCUCCUCCUCCCUGCGCCUAGAACAAUGAUGAGUUUAUGGCAGAUGGACGAUGGAUCAGUGUUAGAUGGAUGCCCACCAUCCAAGGGAAUGAAUGGUUUACCUUCAAAUGACACGUCUGCCUGAGAGCUUGCUAAGCACAUAGAUUUACUGCCUGCUGCCCUCAGCACUAGUUCUGCCCAUUAUGAAUGUGUGGUCACCAAUCUUCAAAAUGUGACACAAAGGCCCCAUCUAUUGCCAGGAGUGGACACCAUUGAUGCUUUCCCCAGAACUCAUCCCAACACCAGUGUGGAUAAACCUGUACCUCUUGGAAUGUGGAGACCGCAUGGAAUAAAUGACACCAAAUGAUACAUAGUCUUAAAGUGACUUUGAGGUUUCAUUUUAGCUUAGUAAUUUUAUGGAAACUUGCUAGUCCACUCCUUACCUGUCUCUGUCUUCAUGUAAAAUUACCCAGAUCAUUCAGCUGUACAAUAUACUCAGCCUGUGGCUUCAAGAAGCCCUGACACAUGUCUGCCUGACCAAGGGCUUCUGUGGCCCAGUGAGAAGCUCAGUGUGAAAUUGUCCAUAAAACCUUUCUGUUGGUGUAGGGGAGCUCACAUUAGCCCCACUAAUAGGGAUUCUCUUAUCUGAUUUCCUUUUUUAUCCAGGAAAGAACAGCCCCACAAUUGAAGAUAGGACAGGGAAGGAGGGCAUUUGAUCCUGGGAAAGGAACGGAAACCACCCAAAGCCACUUGGAAGUAGAGGGGCCUGGUCAGUUCAACCUGCUUCAUCAACAUGCAGCAAGAGGGAGCAGGAAGGAUGUAGACACUGGACCAGGGGGAAGAAACCAAAAGCAGAGUGAGAGGAACCUUCUGGAGUAAAGAGGGAAAGAACUGUGGAUACAUCUACAAUGUUCUCCAGGCCAACAGUAACAAUGGCAGCUUCCUGGGUCUCACUUUCCUGAUUGUGGCAGAGGUGGCAGCUCCUCUGGCAGAUUGGUUCUGCCACAUUCUGGGAUUCACCCAGAGCACUCUCUCCCAGCCCUUCCAAAAGUUCCUAAUUCA
Heterocephalus glaber (naked mole-rat) is the source of this 1414-nucleotide long non-coding RNA. NCBI's taxonomy places the organism in Eukaryota, Metazoa, Chordata, Mammalia, Rodentia, Bathyergidae. The record is from Ensembl.